GGACGCAAGUCUGAUGGAGCAACGCCGCGUGAGUGAAGAAGGGUUUCGGCUCGUAAAGCUCUGUUGGUAGUGAAGAAAGAUAGAGGUAGUAACUGGCCUUUAUUUGACGGUAAUUACUUAGAAAGUCACGGCUAACUACGUGCCAGCAGCCGCGGUAAUACGUAGGUGGCAAGCGUUGUCCGGAUUUAUUGGGCGUAAAGCGAGUGCAGGCGGUUCAAUAAGUCUGAUGUGAAAGCCUUCGGCUCAACCGGAGAAUUGCAUCAGAAACUGUUGAACUUGAGUGCAGAAGAGGAGAGUGGAACUCCAUGUGUAGCGGUGGAAUGCGUAGAUAUAUGGAAGAACACCAGUGGCGAAGGCGGCUCUCUGGUCUGCAACUGACGCUGAGGCUCGAAAGCAUGGGUAGCGAACAGGAUUAGAUACCCUGGUAGUCCAUGCCGUAAACGAUGAGUGCUAAGUGUUGGGAGGUUUCCGCCUCUCAGUGCUGCAGCUAACGCAUUAAGCACUCCGCCUGGGGAGUACGACCGCAAGGUUGAAACUCAAAGGAAUUGACGGGGGCCCGCACAAGCGGUGGAGCAUGUGGUUUAAUUCGAAGCAACGCGAAGAGCCUUACCAGGUCUUGACAUCCAGUGCAAACCUAAGAGAUUAGGUGUUCCCUUCGGGGACGCUGAGACAGGUGGUGCAUGGCUGUCGUCAGCUCGUGUCGUGAGAUGUUGGGGUUAAGU
Molecule: ribosomal RNA, 722 nt
Filed under: Lactobacillus gasseri
Lineage: Bacteria; Bacillati; Bacillota; Bacilli; Lactobacillales; Lactobacillaceae
Description: bacterial SSU rRNA
Rfam family: Bacterial small subunit ribosomal RNA
Source: RNAcentral